CUCUCAUCAGGCUUAUAUAUCCAAGAGGUUAGACAUGAACCAUAACUUGUCUUUUUUGUUCUCUCUCUCCAAUGACAGAUGGGAUGGCCCUGUAAGUUGUGCAGCACUGUUGUACCAACCAAGAAUGACAUUUUAAAGCAUUACAGACUGCACCAUGGGACCUUUGGACACAGCCAUUCCUUGCCUUGCAUUCAUAUUAAUGAAGCGUUCCGAAGGUGCACUGCUGUUCCACUGGAAUCAACAUUUAUGUCCCAACUGGACAGGUACACUCCAAAACUCCUGGAGCUCUUCAGUGCAAAAGAAGGAGUGACUGCAGCGCAUCAAGAACUUGUUGAUGGAACUGACACAGGACCCAAGUGCCUCUGCAGUGAAGAAGAGAGAUGUGACUGUGAGAUGCCUCAUAGAGUACAUGGGAGAGAGUGGACAGGAGCUAAUCUCUGACUACUGGAACUGCAGAGACCACUGUUCAUGAGGACCUGGAAAUGAAGAAUAUGAGCAUCUACAUCUGUCGUGAGCCAAAUGCAGUAGGAAUCAUCAUUGAGGGAGUACCAGUCCUUACUCAUCUUGGAAACCUGGCCAAAGCAUGCUGCCUACUUCUGGGGUUGACGUAUGCACUUAAUCUUGAGUAUCCAUCCAAACUUACCAAAACAUUUGAGGUGUUUCAAAGACUUUUUGUGGGACUUGACACACUGCGCCCAAAACCAACCCCCAAAUUCAUGACUCUCAAAAAUAAGCUUCUAGCUUAGGCAGUGAGCCAUGACUGUCAGCUUGCACUUUUGAACAGCCAUUUUCUUGUGUCUGUUCAAAAUCAUUAUACAUUGUUCAUUGAGUGGAAUUCUUCAGAAUGUUGUAAGGGUUUGUCCUGUUCAGGUUUUAUACAAAGCUCCAGGUCAUCGUUUCUGGUGUGUAAAUUAAGUUUUUUUUAUGUUUUAUACACACUAAAUUGCCCCACUGUGAAGCUCCAGCUGGUCAGAAGGAGGGAUCUGUGAGUUUUUUAAGUUCAAAUGUUUCAAAAUAUACACACUGAAAGACACUACAGUGAAGGUGUUCUGCUUGUGAAUUGUUACAGAAGUACAGAUAAUCUUAAUAUUAAAUUGUUUUAGCAAGAAACUAUACUGUGAAUGUUCUAAGUAAAACUUGAGAUGCUGAGGUCAUGCAUUCUUUUAUGCACUAAAUACUGAUGUUCUUGACUGUUAAUACUGUCCAGCUUAUUGACAGGUUUGGAUAUGGCUUGUGAAAAUGUUUUAAUAUGCAUACGGUUAAAAAAAGAAAACUACUGUGAAGGUGUUCUAUACAGCACUUUAAAAAGUUGAGGUCAUGCAUUCUUGUAUAAUAUGGAUGUUGACUGUUCAUACUGUCCAGCUCAUUGCCACUGUUUUUAUAUGGUAAUGAUUUAAUAAAGGUUGGAAUUUGA
Molecule: long non-coding RNA, 1414 nt
Organism: Nerophis lumbriciformis (worm pipefish)
Lineage: Eukaryota; Metazoa; Chordata; Actinopteri; Syngnathiformes; Syngnathidae
Source: RefSeq, a predicted model, not a curated record